AAUCCAAGAUGGCGGUACAACAGGGCAAAAAGACUAUAGAUUCUAUUACGAAAAUCAGGAUUUUUGCAUUUUUUGCCGUCGCAUUGUUUCGAAACUUACUCGGUCAAAUUCUAUGGUAAAGAGAAACUUACCGCGAAGAUUUUGAGCAUAUAUAUGAUUGAAUUGGAUGAAAAUUCGCAAAAUUAUCCAGCGAUAAAAGUU
This is a non-coding RNA of Paramuricea clavata, 201 nucleotides long. The record is from the annotation of a GenBank genome assembly. Lineage: Eukaryota; Metazoa; Cnidaria; Anthozoa; Malacalcyonacea; Plexauridae.